Molecule: ribosomal RNA, 237 nt
Filed under: Thermoactinomyces vulgaris
Lineage: Bacteria; Bacillati; Bacillota; Bacilli; Caryophanales; Thermoactinomycetaceae
Description: partial 16S ribosomal RNA
Rfam family: Bacterial small subunit ribosomal RNA
Source: RNAcentral
CUUUUUUGGAGAGUUUGAUCCUGGCUCAGGAUGAACGCUGGCGGCGUGCCUAAUACAUGCAAGUCGAGCGGGAGAAUCAUCCUUCGGGAUGAGGAUCCAGCGGCGAACGGGUGAGUAACACGUGGGCAACCUGCCCGCAAGACCGGGAUAACUCCGGGAAACCGGGGCUAAUACCGGAUAGUCCUUUUCCCCGCAUGGGGAAAAGGGGAAAGGCGGCUUCGGCUGUCACUUGCGGAU